Molecule: ribosomal RNA, 324 nt
Filed under: uncultured bacterium
Lineage: Bacteria
Description: bacterial SSU rRNA
Rfam family: Bacterial small subunit ribosomal RNA
Source: RNAcentral
GAUGAACGCUGGCGGCGUGCUUAACACAUGCAAGUCGAACGGAGAUAAACGGCGAAAAGAUUUCGGUCGAUUCCUGUUUAUCUUAGUGGCGGACGGGUGAGUAACGCGUGGGUAACCUGCCCUGUACAGGGGGAUAACACUUAGAAAUAGGUGCUAAAACCGCAUAAGCGCACAGUACCGCAUGGUACAGUGUGAAAAACUCCGGUGGUACAGGAUGGACCCGCGUCUGAUUAGCUGGUUGGAGGGGUAACGGCCCACCAAGGCGACGAUCAGUAGCCGGCCUGAGAGGGUGAACGGCCACAUUGGGACUGAGACACGGCCCAA